GAUGAACGCUGGCGGCGUGCCUAAUACAUGCAAGUCGAGCGAACGGACGAGAAGCUUGCUUCUCUGAUGUUAGCGGCGGGCGGGUGAGUAACACGUGGAUAACCUACCUAUAAGACUGGGAUAACUUCGGGAAACCGGAGCUAAUACCGGAUAAUAUUUUGAACCGCAUGGUUCAAAAGUGAAAGACGGUCUUGCUGUCACUUAUAGAUGGUUCCGCGUUGCAUUAGCUAGUUGGUACGGUAACGGCUUACCAAGGCAACGAUGCAUAGCCGACCUGAGAGGGUGAUCGGCCACACUGGAACUGAGACACGGUCCAGACUCCUACGGGAGGCAGCAGUAGGGAAUCUUCCGCAAUGGGCGAAAGCCUGACGGAGCAACGCCGCGUGAGUGAUGAAGGUCUUCGGAUCGUAAAACUCUUUUAUUAGGGAAGAACAGAUGUAUAAGUAACUGUGCACAUCUUGACGGUACCUAAUCAGAAAGCCACGGCUAACUACGUG
RNAcentral lists this ribosomal RNA (497 nucleotides) under uncultured bacterium. RNAcentral describes it as "partial 16S ribosomal RNA". It matches the Rfam family "Bacterial small subunit ribosomal RNA", at positions 28 to 507 of the family's 1533-position model. The record is from RNAcentral.